AACGCGAAGAACCUUACCAGGAUUUGACAUGCCCCUCGCGGACACUUGAAAGAGAAGUCCUUCAGCUCGGCUGGAGGGAGCACAGGUGCUGCAUGGCUGUCGUCAGCUCGUGUCGUGAGAUGUUGGGUUAAGUCCCGCAACGAGCGCAACCCUCGUCCUCUGUUGCUAACAGGUUAGGCUGAGCACUCUGAGGAAACUGCCGGUGAUAAGCCGGAGGAAGGUGGGGAUGACGUCAAGUCCUCAUGGCCCUUACAUCCUGGGCUACACACGUGUUACAAUGGCGGUGACAAUGACGCUGCAAACCCGCAAGGGCUAGCCAAUCGCAAAAAGCCGCCUCAGUUUGGAUUGUACUCUGCAACUCGAGUACAUGAAAUUGGAAUCGCUAGUAAUCGCGGAUCAGCACGCCGCGGUGAAUACGUUCCCGGGCCUUGUACACACCGUAGAGAC
Molecule: ribosomal RNA, 447 nt
Filed under: uncultured bacterium
Lineage: Bacteria
Description: bacterial SSU rRNA
Rfam family: Bacterial small subunit ribosomal RNA
Source: RNAcentral